Pogoniulus pusillus (Red-fronted tinkerbird) is the source of this 2376-nucleotide long non-coding RNA. RefSeq lists it as uncharacterized. NCBI's taxonomy places the organism in Eukaryota, Metazoa, Chordata, Aves, Piciformes, Lybiidae. The record is from RefSeq and is a predicted model, not a curated record. The transcript has 10 exons.
AGAAUAGCUGGCAGAAGUUCAGCCUUAAGAAUAAUUAACUGAUGGGAAAAACAUUUCUGCUGAAACACAUCAAAUGAAAAAUCCAUACAAACGUUUUGUUAAAAAGCUUGGGUUUGAUGCCACCCUUUCAGAAAUUGUGAAGCUUUUCCAGAUGCCUGCACACCUCUGAGCCACAGACCCCCAGGCUUACCCAGGGCCUGGGUCCUGCUCAGCUGGCCCCUGUAGUGCUCUGGAGUGGAGGUGAAUGAGCUUUGCUGCUUCCCAUCCACGGUUUCCUUAGCAAUGGCAUCGCCUUUCAACGUGCAGCGUUGCAAUUAUUGCCAGAGCUUUACCAUCUGCCUAUUGCCAUCUACAUCCUUCUGUGCUCUGACCACAGUCUGUAUGAAGUCUGCGUGUGCCCUCCACUGCAUGGGAAUGGUCCAAGCCUCUCGUGGCACUUGCGCAGCUGCAUGAACUGGAUGAGACAGCUGUGACGUUUGGUUAUUGCUCCAGCAGGACGUGGGCAGGGCAAGGAAGCUGCAGCCACCUGGCAGGUGAUGGGUAUGGCCAGGACUCGCCUCCCAGCUCGGGUCUGAGUCAGGUUUGACUGAGAGAAAGUGAUGAUGUGGCCACGGAGGACCAAAGCAGAAGUGGCCCCCAAGAAGCAAAGACAGAGCCCUGGAAAGUGCUGCUGGCAGUGCCUUAGCCAUGAUUCUCUUGCGGCACCCUGGGCUCUCCUUACAUUUCCCUUCAGCAACUUGAGAGGGAGGAAACAAAAACAACCUUCAAAAACUAACAGAAAACCAAAACAAACCAAAGCAAAAAGACAGCCCCGGAGUAAUCUCUCUUUAGAGAACUCGAAACUCAACCUGCUGAAGAUAUCCACUGUCAUGGGUUAAUGCCAAGUCCUGCACCAAACUGCGCGAGAAAGACACCGAGAGCAAAACAAGUGAAAAGGCCCUGCGAGGAAGGAAGCAGCUGCACAGUCAUACUUUGGUACUGCCAGAGACAUCUGGAGUUUCUGCUUGCACGUGUCUAUGUCAACAGCUAGCACCAGGACGACCCAAAAGCUACACUGCACAUUUGAGAUGAACUACAAUUAAUCCUUGGACCACAUGUGGCUCUGGAGGGCUCCAAAAAGAGGACAGAGAGUGCGGCUUUCCAAGCGGCUGCGGGAGAGCUGCAUCACUAGAGCUCUGUCCCUUGCCUACUUCCUUGCAAGCAAAAUGAGAAGCGCGGUGAGACGUCAGCAAUACUGAAACCUAUCUUAAAUGCAAUCCACCAAGGAGUCAAGGGCACAGCUUGCUAAUGUCACCAUUCUCUCCUGGGUUUUCCCCCACGUGUUCACAUGGCAGAAACAACUGCACAUGCUUUCACUCCAGGAUAUGUUUUUGAGAAUAGAUAUAAUGAGAAGUACAAACCAGGGCUCCAGCAGACCUCCUCCAUCCCUGCUCCAAGGUGGACUUCUGCUUCUCUACAAGAUUUUUGUUAUGAUCUCUUCAGACACAUAUUCAUCAAGUACCAACAAAGAGCUUUCAAAACACUAUCAAUGUCUGCUAUUAACAAAACGGGAGCAUGUAAAGCAGUUAAGCCUUGAAAUUCAUACUGGAUGAAAGCAAAGAGAUGCUUUUAAACUCAAUCUACAUUACUUUUCAUCUGUGGAGGUUAGGAAAGCCACGGCUAGAACAGCAUGGUUGGAUUCAGUUCUGGCUAGGGCUUGCUGAUUAAUCCAUCCAGAACCACACAACAUCACCACGUACACGUUACGUGCACGUGCUUGUGCCACUGGAAGCAGCAGCACAAAGACCCACACAUCGAAUCGUAGUCCUGUCCAGAAGCAGGGUGAAACACAAAAGUCCCUCCACAAUGGUAACACCUAUUCAAGGCAGCACUUGCUGAGGGCAUUAGCCACACAUGUGUUUCUGUAAGCACACAGAGAAAGAGUGAGCAGAUUCUUCCACCACUGAAACCUCCAAAGUUAGUGCUGCUUUUACCUGAGCUACAAAUUCAUUUCCAUCAUAGGGAGUUUCUUUUUCCAGCUGUUGAUGAGAAUAUUACAACUGUGCAUUUCAGAGCCUACUUUUAAUGUUGAUAACAAAGUGCAGCUGUACUCUGCUGAUAACAGCCUCCAUCCCACACCAUGAAGUGUGCACAGCUGGGCUGAUGCUCUAUUCCAAAAUGCUUCCUAUGUGAAUAUUUUAAAGCAAAGUUUAGACUUGUUAAUCUACAUAGCUGUGGUGGAGGGCCACAUAGGCCCAAAUAGGGUUACUCACAGGCCUGUGCUUGCCUGGACAUGUUUCCCCGCCAAAAGGUGUUUUUCUGUCUAACCCAGGGGAAAACACAUUGAGCAGGCAAAGGGACACAACAAGCCUGGCACCUUAGAGUCUGGCCUGCCCU